UACUGCCAUUUAUUCAGCAGCAUAAAAUGUGUUUAUAUCUAUCCUUUAAAAUAUAAAGCCUGCAAAAAGUACAUUUCCUUAUGAAAAAUAAUAAGAUGAUGUUAAUGAUGAAUUCUUGGAAGCUUUGGUAUAAUGUAAGGAAACUUUAUCUAUUUUUUUUUUUUUUGUCUUUUUUUGUCUGUUUAGGGCCACACCCAGGCUAGGGACUGAAUCGGAGCUACAGCUGCUGGCCUACGCCCAGAGCCACAGCAACUCCAGAUCCGAGCCAUGUCUGUGACCAACAUCACAGCUCAUGGCAACACUGGAUCCUUAACCCACUGAGGGAGCCAGGGAUAGAACCUGCAACCUCAUGGUUCCUAGUAGGAUUCAUUUCUGUUGCGCCACAACGGGAACUCUGAGGCAUCUUUAUCUUAUUUUGUCUCCUAGUUCCUGCUUACCAAACCAAAAAAAUAUGCAAGUUAAUGGAGUGAAUUUCUUUAUGACACUGAGAAGAGAGGGAUAAAAUGUAUUACAACAGACUUCUUUCCCAGUUCACAAGAAGUCCUGACUCUGUUCUAUAUUCAAGAUAAAUGUUCAGGUACUUGUUACAUUAAAAUUAUAAUAUUUACUGCUGAGAAUGUAUUAAUCAUGUAAUUUUCAACUACAUUUUACAUAUACAUUAACUAAGAGACUAUGGAAGUGAUUUAGUGAACAGUACAUUAAUAGUUUUUUUUUAAAAAAAGCUAAAAUUAUAUUAAAUUUUCUUGAUCUCUGUUUAUGCACUUUUACUAUUUCACUUUAGAACAUGGGUGUACAUAGUUUAUACUUAUAUAGAGUUUAGUACAAAAUUAAAUGAACUCAGUUUUUUUUUUAAUUUUAGGUUUUAAUAGCCUUUUGUAUACUUGAUUAAAUGGUUUUCAACUAUAUCGUUAAAAAAAAAGAUAGCAGACCUCUUGUCUUAAAUGUUUGGGAAUCCAGUCUAACAUAAUUCUUCAUAAGAGAAGAGCACAUCUGAGAUAUUUUGACCAUAAUGGUGUGACAGUAAAUGCUUUUUUUCUUUUAAUAAGGGGACUUAAUUGUCUAGAAACUGUAGAGUAUUAACAAGUUUGAAAGAAUAUGUUGCAUUUGUCCUUCACUGUCACGGUAUACUAUUCUUACUUAAACACCACUAUAAAAGAGACUGAGGUUUAAAUAAAGUCAGAAAAUGAGUUAAUUUGAUAGUUUAGCUCAACCAGGAGAAUAGCUAUUCUUUGUCUUGUAUUAAUAUUAAAUACCAUAGAUUUACACAAACAUUUACCAACAUCUUGAAAUUAAUUAUCUAGUCCAUCCUAUUUUAACAUAAAAAAAGUAUGGCUCUGUGUUUGAAAACUCUCAUAAAUUAUGAAAAAGUUUAAUCUUUAUGAGAGGAGGUGGACAUGCUCUUAUAUGUAAUCUUCCAAAUAUUUACUUUAGAAAAACAAAAUAAUUUAUUUGACCUUCACUGAAUCUAAUUUUAAUUAUAGAUUAUAUACAUAUAUAAUUCUAGACUCUUAUUAAAUCUUUACUAACAAAAAUAUUAUUUUCAGAGCUUAGAGAAAAUAAACAGAAAAUCUAAUCACAAAUAUAGGUGAAAGAUAAAAUUCCUGUAUAAAAAGAAUUCUCCAAGGAUUUAAUAGCAUGCAGAAAUCCAACCUGCGGAGAAUUUUACGGUUUUUCUUAAUCCUCUUUCUUUCUGGUCUAUGUAUUGUAAUAUUUUUUCUUUUAUUUUAAAGAAACUGCCUAAUGAACCACUUAAUCAUUGCCUUCCUUUCUGCUUUUUUAUUUUCUUUCUUUUUUCUUUCACUUUUAAGCCCACACCUGGGGCAUACAGAAGUUCCCUGGUUAGGGGUCAAAUCAGAGCUGCUGCUCCUGCAGGACUAUACCACAGCCACAGCAACAAUGGAUCAGAGCUGCUUCUGUGACCUAAGCCACAGCCUGAGGCAAUGCCAGAUCCUUAACUCUGAGCUUACAACCAACACUGCAUUUUAUUUUUCCAUUAAAUAUAUUUUUGUAGGUUUUUUUUUGUUUGUUUUUGUUUUUUCAACCAACACUGCAUUUUAUUUUUCCAUUAAAUAUAUUUUUUGUAGGUUUUUUUUUUGUUUGUUUUUGUUUUUUUUUGACUUUUGUCUUAUUAGGGUUGCAUCCAUGGCAUAUGGAGGUUCCCAGGCGAGGGUCCAAUUGGAGCUGUUGGUGCUGGCCUACGCCACUGCCAUAGCAAUGCCAGAUCCAAAGUGUCUGCGACCUACACCACAGCUCACAUCAACGCCGGAUCCUUAACACACUGAGUGAGAACAGGAAUGGAACCCACAAUCUCAUGGUUCCUAGUGGGAUUUGUUUCCACUGCGCCACAGAGGGAACUCCAUUUUCCCAUUAAAUAUACUGUUAAUUAGUCUCAAAGUUUAAAGCAUUUUGUCUCUCAUCAUUUCAGAAUUACUCCCUUCAGAAUGUGGUAAAAGACUGAAGUCAAUUUAGGGUUAUGAUCUAAUUUUUCUUAUAUUUUCCUAUAAGAAAUCAAUACUAAAAUCUGUACAAGGGUCUUGUUUUUGGUAGUUUUAUUUUCUAAAUUGAGGAUGUGAGGAGGUUUAAAGGUACAUCUGAAAGAAUUUUGUUGCAAGUAAGAAAAUACGGUAUAUAUUAGAUAUGUCCCUUACCAUACAGAUGAGGCUCCACAAUUAGUUCCUGGGUAAAGUAUCUAUGUCAUAUUCUCAAUCUGCACAGUAAAUCUUAAACCCUAGGACUUAACUCCAGUCUGCAUGUCUUACGUUGUUCCCAAAAUAUUUUAGAUCAAUCUCUUUUCAUACUUUACUCCCUUUGCUCUUUCAUUUUCCAAAAGGAAACUCCUCGAGGAUAAUGAGUAAAACACACAAAUUUUAAUUCUGCAUCAUUAAAUGAUCACUACCCACUUUUUCAAUGACUCUAGGAAGGAUAUACAAUUUGUAGCAAAUAUAAAAAGAGAGCAGAAGAAUUUAAACCAUUCACUUUUAUCACUAACAGGCCAGGAACAGAUUAUGUCUGCACUACUUCUACAUGGCUAAUUGUUUUUUGUAUGGAAAUUUUUUUGUUGCAUUAUAGAAUAAGAAUAGAAAUGUGGUGUGGCUAAUUUAUUUGUAGGAAGUCAUUUAACCAAAUGAUAACAAUUUAUCCUAUCUUAAAAUAGUUUGCUUUUAUUCUUGUCACGAUCCAUCUUCUUUAUAAAGUUCAACCUAUGUUAGUAUGUGCGUAAAUCAAUACAGAAACAUUAGAGGUAAUUACUUCAUGUUAAUUCCACUAACUAAAUAUUUGCCACAUACUGAGCACUAUGUGAAUCAUGUUCCCUCUCCACGAGACUUCUGAAAAAGCCAAAAUUAUCCACCACGUGUAGAAAAAACCAGAGAGCACAUUUUGAGUGUUAAGUUCUUUGCUGAGUUUAGCUAAUUUUAUAUCUUUAUUUUCUUUGUAUCCUCAUUUAAUUAAGAAAUUUUAUUUUUUUUCCAUAACAUGUAUUUUUGUAAGUCAUUUUAGAUUCAGUUAAAUAUAGUCAUGUAAAAAUAAAUAAUACUAUGGUUCUCCUUUAUUCCCAACAACACAUUUGUACAGAAGCUCCUAAAUCACAGAACCUUGAAAUGAAUUGAGCCAACAACAUUUGCAGCAGAAAAAUAACUAUUGCCAUAAAACCUUAAUUAGCAAGAACCAUAACUAUAGUCAGCAUUCAUUAAAUAUCAUUUGAAUUCACACAAAUGAUGUAUACACAAGUAGCCACAUGCAUUUAGUUUAAGAGAAUGUUUUUAUAAGACUGGUUACUAUAAAAAGAAAAAUGCACAUGGAUAUAAGCAAUUGUAAUGAUAUUUAUAUGUAAUUGAGCACAUGGUAAAUAUACACAAGGACACCAAGCAGUUAAAUCAUUUUGUUAUAAUGGAAUGACAUCUAUACUAUGUAAAACACCAUAUUCAUUGCCUGCCAAAAUAUUUUUUUGUUCUUUUUUCAGUUUUCCUGUUUGUUAUUCUGUGACAAAAUUACAGGACAGCUACAGUGGCAUGGCAACUGAAAGCUUAAAGGCUUGUUCAGGAAAAGGAGAGAUACUAUUUUAAAACAAAUGCUUACUCUAUUUGUGAUUUAUCAAGUUAGACUGAUGUGAAAUUUUUUUCUCAAGGUGACAGAUAUCUGAAUUUCCUAAAACUAUUCAAAAUAUGUCAGAUACUUACUCAAUAUUUAGUAACAUGUUAAGUAAAUUCUGACAAUUUUUCAACAUAAAUUCAGUGACUCAACACUUCUACAAAUGUUGACUUACCUCUGACUGGGAUGGGAAUAACUCCAGAGUCCAUUCAUUUCAUAACUGGGUGUCAUUUGUAUAAUGAACUACAUGUUGGAAGUGUUGAAUUUGAGACACUGCUUAAGUAAUUAUAUGCUUUAAGGUUAUUUACUUUAUCCAAUGUACUGUUUAGAUCUACAAUUAGCUGGCACUAGAUAUGUAGAUGUCUGGUUUUUGAAGUUCAUUCAGUGAGACAGGGAUCUUUUCCAGCCAUGGAUAAAUUCCCACUUUAUUCCUUGGAGAAGGAAUAACCACGUUAGUUUUUUUCUAGUGGUGUUAUAAUUAAAUUCCUUUUAAUUGAAGGAAGAACAAGAAAAUCCUAGGAAAGGAGUUCCUGGGAUAUGCUAUAAGCAACAACUUUCCUACAUGCCCUUAAAAUAAACCCCCUUAGGAGUUCCCAAUGUGGCACAGUGGAAACAAAUCCAACUAGGAACCAUGAGAUUGUGGGUUCGAUCCUUGGCCUUGCUCAGUAGGUUAAGGAUCUGGCAUUGCCAUGAGCUGUGGCGUAGGUUGCAGAUGUGGCUCGGAUCUGCCAUUGCUGUGGCUCUGGCAUAGGCUGGCAGCUGUAGCUCUGAUUAGAGCCCUAGCUGGGAACCUCCACAUGGUGCGGGUGCAGCC
This 4903-nucleotide long non-coding RNA is filed under the name Sus scrofa (pig). Its description in RNAcentral is "lncRNA (ENSSSCG00000061758.1)". Lineage: Eukaryota; Metazoa; Chordata; Mammalia; Artiodactyla; Suidae. The record is from RNAcentral.